AAAUGACCAGGGUAUCUCCUACGUAUGGCUGAUCUCUAGCUGCCCUAACGGCCCUUUGGGACUGUUGGCAGGAACAAGCACAAAUUAGAGCAGCUUUUGUGUCUGGCACUGGACAAGUGGUAGGACAGAUCUAGAACUGGGGGGAUCUUAAAGAUAGCAUUAGGGAUGCUAAGGAUUAAGCUGAGUUGCACUAUGUGCUCCUUGGCCACAACUCAGGAUCAGAACAGGUGUCUUUUCCAAAAAUAAAAAAGUGACCUACAUGUGGAGCUGUCCUCAUGCGGCAAACACCUCUCCUCUCCUCUCCUCCAAAUCUUUCCUUACAACCUUCCACCACUGAGCCCUAUGAGUGCAUGCACUCACUCUGGCUCCUCAGUCACUAUUUGUAUGUUUCUAUCUAAAAUAGAUUUAAACUCACUGGGGCAGAGCCCUUUCUGGAACUUAUAUAUGUUAAGUUCAGUGUACACCUAUCAUCUUCCAAGUGAUUAAUAAUCUCGGGUGGACGACAGAAACAAACUGGAGCACACAGGGUUAAUUCAGUAACCAAGGAAAGUCUAUUAAUGAUUGCUGUCUAGCAAGCCCAGUGUCUCACUAUACUGUAGUUACCUUCUCCAGCCUGAAGUACACUGUCCAUGCUGUGAGGAGAAGCUGCAAGCUGUGGAAAUGCUGCAUCUCCACCAUCAAGUACAUUGGUGCUGAGGAAAUCAACAGGAAUAAACCAUGAUAAAAUAGCUGAGGGAGUAGCUGAUCCAGAAUCUGAUCGGACAAUUCAUUGUGCAGGGGCACCCCCCUGCAACGUCACAGAAUUCCAAAGAAGAAAAUGGAGGCUCCAUGUGGAAGGAAAAUCCUUGUCUUCUACUUUCACUGAAGGUCUGUUGCAUUUCAUCCUACAAAAGAAGGAACGUCUUGCUCCAGAACAAAGUCUUGAUGGCCC
Mauremys mutica (yellowpond turtle) is the source of this 931-nucleotide long non-coding RNA. RefSeq lists it as uncharacterized. The transcript has 3 exons. Lineage: Eukaryota; Metazoa; Chordata; Testudines; Geoemydidae. The record is from RefSeq and is a predicted model, not a curated record.